This 424-nucleotide ribosomal RNA is filed under the name uncultured bacterium. RNAcentral describes it as "partial 16S ribosomal RNA". It matches the Rfam family "Bacterial small subunit ribosomal RNA", at positions 360 to 776 of the family's 1533-position model. The record is from RNAcentral.
AAUAUUGGACAAUGGGCGAAAGCCUGAUCCAGCCAUGCCGCGUGCAGGAUGAAGGCCUUCGGGUUGUAAACUGCUUUUGUACGGAACGAAAAACUUUGGGUUAAUACCCUGGGUUCAUGACGGUACCGUAAGCAUAAGCACCGGCCACCUACGGUCCCGCAGCCGCGGGAAUACGUAGGGUGCAAGCGUUAAUCGGAAUUACUGGGCGUAAAGCGUGCGCAGGCGGUUUUGUAAGACAGAGGUGAAAUCCCCGGGCUCAACCUGGGAACUGCCUUUGUGACUGCAAGGCUAGAGUACGGCAGAGGGGGGUGGAAUUCCGCGUGUAGCAGUGAAAUGCGUAGAUAUGCGGAGGAACACCGAUGGCGAAGGCAACCCCCUGGGCCUGUACUGACGCUCAUGCACGAAAGCGUGGGGAGCAAACAGG